Molecule: long non-coding RNA, 482 nt
Filed under: Xyrichtys novacula (pearly razorfish)
Lineage: Eukaryota; Metazoa; Chordata; Actinopteri; Labriformes; Labridae
Source: RNAcentral
GCCAGAUUGUCUUCGCAGCAUGCAAGACUCUCCAGCAUUAUUUCUUGGAUUGACUUCUCGGUUUCGACUCCUGCCUGUCCCUGACCACGUCUUAUUGUCUCAGCCCUUGGAUCCUCUGUCAAGUUUCUUCGCUCCGGUGAGAACUUCAGGUUUUGCUGUGUUACUGGCUUCCCGACCUACUGCCUGUCCACGACUAUCCUUCCGUCUGAUCCCUCUGGAGUCAGUCUGCCCCGCUGAUUGUCUGCCUGGAUUUGACAUUGCCUCCGCUUCGACCAGGAGCCCAGCCUGCCCCUCGACAGUGCCGCUGCACUUCACAAAGACUCUCAGGUGUAGUGUGUUUUCUGUGUGCACUCACCUUUCUGCCUGUUGGACCUGUUUCCUGUUGGUCCUCGAUAUUAUACAGAGACUGCUAAAUCAUCCCAGUAUCUUCAGUUACCUGUUUACUGUGAACUGUUACAAUAAAAGUAGCUUCUAAACAACUA